This 77-nucleotide microRNA precursor is filed under the name Triops cancriformis. RNAcentral's name for it is "microRNA tcf-mir-10342 precursor". The record is from miRBase by way of RNAcentral. Lineage: Eukaryota; Metazoa; Arthropoda; Branchiopoda; Notostraca; Triopsidae.
UGGGUAGACUCUCCAUCAUUCGUUUGGUCGAUGGUAGUAGAAAUUGCUCGUCGGAUGUAAGUGGAUCUUUACCCACG